CUAUUAGCCAACAACAUUUACUUUCCUAUUAUAUACUUGGGUGUCUUGUCCAUUGGUGCCAUUGCCACUGCCAUUAAUCGUCUCAAUAGUCUCCCUGAGAUACAGAAGCAAUUGAACCAUUGCUUAAGAAGAAAUGGUAAGCAGCAAAAAUGGGAGAUGUAACUACAGUAACUCUUUUGAUGGGUGUGGGGAUCUCAAGGAAAUGAAGAAAGGGUUGGAAACCCUGUUUUGUCUACUGCUCAGGGUAACAAAACUUGAAGAUAAUCAAGUAUGGAUCUCAUAGAUUUUUAAGUUCUUGGUUUCAAUGAAGUGGGUUUCUGUGAUAAUCUUGUUAUUUUGGAGCUUGGACUGAUAAUUGAGUGGAAAA
Macadamia integrifolia is the source of this 367-nucleotide long non-coding RNA. RefSeq lists it as uncharacterized. The record is from RefSeq and is a predicted model, not a curated record. NCBI's taxonomy places the organism in Eukaryota, Viridiplantae, Streptophyta, Magnoliopsida, Proteales, Proteaceae. The transcript is spliced from 2 exons.